RNAcentral lists this ribosomal RNA (503 nucleotides) under uncultured bacterium. RNAcentral's name for it is "bacterial SSU rRNA". It matches the Rfam family "Bacterial small subunit ribosomal RNA", at positions 383 to 896 of the family's 1533-position model. The record is from RNAcentral.
CUGAUGCAGCCACGCCGCGUGAGGGAUGAAGGCCUUCGGGUUGUAAACCCCUUUCAGCAGGGAAGAAGCGCACGUGACGGUACCUGCAGAAGAAGCGCCGGCUAACUACAUGCCACCAGCCGCGGUAAUACGUAGGGCGCAAGCGUUGUCCGGAAUUAUUGGGCGUAAAGAGCUCGUAGGCGGUUUGUCGCGUCUGGUGUGAAAACUCAUGGCUCAACCUUGGGCCUGCAUCCUGUACGGCCAGACUACAGUGCAGUAGGGGUGACUGGAAUUCCUGGUGUAGCGGUGGAAUGCGCAGAUAUCAAGAGGAACACCGAUAGCGAAGGCAGGUCACUGGUCCUCAACUGACGCUGAGGAGCGAAAGCAUGGGGAGCGAACAGGAUUAGAUACCCUGGUAGUCCAUGCCGUAAACGUUGGGCACUAGGUGUGGGGCUCAUUCCACUAGUUCCGUGCCGCAACAAACGCAUUAAGUGCCCCACCUGGGGAGUACGGCCGCAAGGCUA